RNAcentral lists this transfer RNA (72 nucleotides) under Ictidomys tridecemlineatus (thirteen-lined ground squirrel). RNAcentral describes it as "Spermophilus tridecemlineatus (thirteen-lined ground squirrel) tRNA". It matches the Rfam family "tRNA". From Rfam's summary of the family: Transfer RNA (tRNA) molecules are approximately 80 nucleotides in length. Lineage: Eukaryota; Metazoa; Chordata; Mammalia; Rodentia; Sciuridae. The record is from Rfam by way of RNAcentral.
GGGGUUGUGGCUCAGUGGUAGAGUGCUUGCCUUGCAUGCAUAAGGCCCUGAGUUCAAUCCCUAACAACACAA